RNAcentral lists this ribosomal RNA (429 nucleotides) under uncultured archaeon. RNAcentral's name for it is "bacterial SSU rRNA". It matches the Rfam family "Archaeal small subunit ribosomal RNA", at positions 474 to 903 of the family's 1478-position model. The record is from RNAcentral.
UACCUGCAGCUCGAGUGGUAACCGCUAUUAUUGGGCCUAAAGCGUCCGUAGCCGGUUUGGUAAAUAUCUGGGUAAAUCGUGAGGCUUAACUUCACGAAUUUCGGAUAGACUGCCAGACUUGGGAUCGGGGGAGGUCAGAGGUACUCCAGGGGUAGCGGUGAAAUGUUGUAAUCCUUGGAGGACCACCGGUAGCGAAGGCGUCUGACUAGAACGAGUCCGACGGUGAGGGACGAAGCCCUGGGGCGCAAACUGGAUUAGAUACCCGGGUAGUCCAGGGUGUAAACAAUGUGGGCUUUGUAUUGGAGGUCCCACGUGGGCGUCCAGUGCAGAAGAGAAGUUGUUAAGCCCACCGCCUGGGAAGUACGGUCGCAAGGCUGAAACUUAAGGGAAUUGGCGGGGGAGCACAGCAACGGGAGGAGCGUGCGGUUU